CCUACGGGAGGCAGCAGUGAGGAAUAUUGGUCAAUGGGCGAGAGCCUGAACCAGCCAAGUCGCGUGAGGGAGUACUGCCCUAUGGGUUGUAAACCUCUUUUGUCGGGGAGCAAAAGCCGGACGUGUCCGGCUGUGAGAGUACCCGAAGAAAAAGCAUCGGCUAACUCCGUGCCAGCAGCCGCGGUAAUACGGAGGAUGCGAGCGUUAUCCGGAUUUAUUGGGUUUAAAGGGUGCGCAGGCGGAGUUUUAAGUCAGCGGUAAAAUCGUGGGGCUCAACCCCAUCCAGCCGUUGAAACUGGGGAUCUAGAGUGUGCGAGAGGUAUGCGGAAUGCGUGGUGUAGCGGUGAAAUGCAUAGAUAUCACGCAGAACCCCGAUUGCGAAGGCAGCAUACCGGUGCACAACUGACGCUCAGGCACGAAAGCGUGGGUAUCGAACAGGAUUAGAUACCCGUGUAGUC
RNAcentral lists this ribosomal RNA (458 nucleotides) under uncultured bacterium. Its description in RNAcentral is "partial 16S ribosomal RNA". It matches the Rfam family "Bacterial small subunit ribosomal RNA", at positions 338 to 795 of the family's 1533-position model. The record is from RNAcentral.